AAUACAAAAGAAGACUGAUUAUUGCUUGAAAUUUAGGUUGAAGCGAGACCAUAGACAUGGCACAAAAUGAAACAUGCACACGCAAGAUUGCACUUGCUUUGCUUACAUGUUUCGUUUUGACCCAAAAUGCUAACAAAGGGGAUCUUGAAACCGGGAACUAAUGUGGAAAGCUUGUCCGCCCAUUAAAUGCUACAGACCAUCACCUCAGAUGCCUGGGCUUCACGACAUUAUUUCCCUUCUCACCCAUUUCAUCAGAAAUCU
This 261-nucleotide unclassified non-coding RNA is filed under the name Hevea brasiliensis (rubber tree). Lineage: Eukaryota; Viridiplantae; Streptophyta; Magnoliopsida; Malpighiales; Euphorbiaceae. The record is from RNAcentral.